Molecule: long non-coding RNA, 250 nt
Filed under: Gossypium barbadense (sea-island cotton)
Lineage: Eukaryota; Viridiplantae; Streptophyta; Magnoliopsida; Malvales; Malvaceae
Description: long non-coding RNA (GBAR_LNC012454)
Source: RNAcentral
GUUGAUGAAGGCAUGAAUUAAUGAACAUUUUAUUUUAUUUCUAACUAAUAUUAACUUAAUAAUCAAAUACCAAUUCUACCCUUAAUUAAAACAUUAUAAAAUCACUUAAUAUAUACCCAUUUAUGUCAAAUUCCACUAUCAAGGGUCAAAUUACAACAUAAGGACCUUUCAUUUAAUAAGCCAUGACAAAUAUACACCUUUAUCAUAUAGAAUGCAACUUUUGCAUUUUUGGUGAUUUAGUCCUUUUUCU